Molecule: long non-coding RNA, 2115 nt
Organism: Piliocolobus tephrosceles (Ugandan red Colobus)
Lineage: Eukaryota; Metazoa; Chordata; Mammalia; Primates; Cercopithecidae
Source: Ensembl
AUGUUUAUUUUGAAUACAUUUGGUGGUGGUAAAAGUUUUAAGAGACGAGUUAGAAAAAAGGAAUGUGGUACUCGCACCUGUAUACAUACGCAGAGACAGAAACAAAAAGGGAGAAAAAGACAAAGAGAGAGACAGGGACAAAAAGAGAGACAGGGACAAAAAGAGAGACAGGNNNNNNNNNNAAAGAGACAAAAAGAGAGAAAGAGACAAAAAGAGAGAAAGAGACAAAGAGGUAUAGAUAGAAGCUACAAAAACAACCCCCACCCUGUAAACAAAUACACAUACAUGUUUUAUUACAAAACAAAUAUAUUAUUAUCAUAUACAGAUAAACUUUCUUCUUUCAUAAAUAAAUACCUUAUUUACGAAUUAAAAAUACAACUAUACAAAUCAGCUUAUAAUAUAAAAAAUACAUUAUUAACAUAUUUAUCUUUUCCCUUUUUUUUUAAUAAAGCAAAAACAAAAAACAAUUAUAUUUUAUGCGAACAUUUUAUUGAUUCAAAUAUAUCAUAUAACUAUAACAUUCAGUUGUAUAUGAUGUGGAAAUUAACUAAUUGUACUUAUAAAUCUUUUUUAUUAUUUUUAAACAAAAAUUUUUAUAAUUACAUGGAUUUUAUGAAUAAUAAAGUUAUGUUAUGUAACAAUAAUUUAACUAACAUUGUAGUAGGUAAUACAAAUAUGGAAAUAAAAAAUGGAAAAACAAAUAUAUCUUAUAUAACACCAGUUAAUUAUAAAAUAUAUAAUUUAAAAAAAAGUAAAAAAGAUACUAUUCUCACUAAAACAUUUAAUUCAAAUAGUUAUACAUCUGUACUUAUUAAUGAAAUUUAUAAUUUGGAAAAACAUGGUAUUAUAUAUUCUUAUUCAAAUACUAAUAAUAAAUUGGAUUUGAAAAUUGAUAAUACAACUCCUAAUACAAUUAAACAAACACAAUCAUUACAGGAGUAUGUUAACGAUAAGAAUAAAGAAAUAAAUGAAAAUAAUGGAGAAAGUACAAAUAACAGCUCUAACAAUAAUAGUUGUACUACCAGUAUUAGUUCAAGUGACGAAUCAAGAAAUACAGCUAGUAAUAAACGAUUUUUUAAACUGUAUUCUAAAUUAUAUGAAAAUGGUUUAAGAAUACAUGAUAAAGAAUACGUUAUAAUUCCUAAUGCAAGAGGAGUAGGAAAAAAUAAAAUAACAUUCAAUCAUACAAAUUUUUUAUUUAAACCUUCUAAAAAUGAUGAUACUUUUUCUUCUUUUACAUCCAAAAUUAAUAUUUUAAAAAGGAUUAAAAGUAAUAUAAAAAAAAAAAAAAAAAAAAAAUACAACCAUCAUAACCUUCUUAUUGGAAAUACUAAAUGUUAUACUAAACUUGUUGGAAAUAAUUCUACCUAUAAUUUGAAUCACUACUAUAGUCAAAUAAAAAAUAAUACGUUAGAAAAUAAAAAAGGGAAUACUAUACAUGAAAGAAAAAGUAAUGUCAACACAAAUAAACAAUUAUCUACUCAUAUUGCUAGUACCCAACAAGAAGGUAGUACAUACGUGCCAACUGAUACUAAUACUAAUACUAAUACUAAUACUAAUACUAAUACUAAUACUAACACUAACGGAAGUCAGGUGAUACAAAAUAUAAAAAGUAUAGGUCUUAAAGAAAAUACAAACGAUACCAGUGACAAUACAUUCAUUGUUGAUACAAUACAAAGUUGUAAAGUUAAAGAUUCUUAUGUAAAAAAUAUGAAUAUACAAGAAAUAAAAUCUCAGUUGAAUAGUUAUGUUAAUAAUACCAUACAACAAACAGAACCUAUACUUUACAAAAAUCCGAUAACUACUAGUAAUGUUAUAAAAAAAAUGGAUAAUUAUGUAAAUUAUAAUAAAAAUAAUAAUAACAAUAAUAGUAGUAGCACUGGAUGUCAUGACGAUAUAACUAGUUUUGUGAAAGAGGUUACAAAACAAAAUGAUAAAAAUAUACCUAACAGUAAUUACGGAGUUGAUUAUGUACCCAGUAUGGAUGACAGUACUACAAGUACAGCAGUACAGGAUAUUGUCACAAGUAUAGCAAUAAAGGACAGUUACUUAUUUAAAAAUCGUAUGAACGAGAGGGAUGUUAAUAGUAGUGCCAAAAAAAAAUGGAAAAAAUAA